AGCAGCCGCGGUAAUUCCAGCUCCAAUAGCGUAUAUUAAAGUUGUUGCAGUUAAAAAGCUCGUAGUUGAAUUUCGAGACCGGUUUACUGGUCGUGCUUUUGUACGUACUGGUAUUAUUGGUUUCUCCUUUCUGACGAACUAUAAUGCCAUUAAUUUGGUGUUUUAGGGAAUCAGGACUGUUACUUUGAAAAAAUUAGAGUGUUUAAAGCAGGCUCACGCUUGAAUACAUUAGCAUGGAAUAACGGAAUAGGACGUUUGAUUCUAUUUUGUUGGUUUCUAGGAUCGACGUAAUGAUUAAUAGGGAUAGUUGGGGGCAUUAGUAUUCAAUUGUCAGAGGUGAAAUUCUUGGAUUUAUUGAAGACUAACUACUGCGAAAGCAUUUGCCAAGGAUGUUUUCAUUAAUCAAGAACGAAAGUUAGGGGAUCGAAGACGAUCAGAUACCGUCGUAGUCUUAACCAUAAACUAUGCCGA
This 471-nucleotide ribosomal RNA is filed under the name uncultured Glomus. RNAcentral describes it as "SSU rRNA". It matches the Rfam family "Eukaryotic small subunit ribosomal RNA", at positions 569 to 1045 of the family's 1831-position model. The record is from RNAcentral. Lineage: Eukaryota; Fungi; Glomeromycota; Glomeromycetes; Glomerales; Glomeraceae.